Pygocentrus nattereri (red-bellied piranha) is the source of this 3018-nucleotide RNA transcript. It is a transcript of the gene named arrestin, beta 2a, with no coding region annotated. Lineage: Eukaryota; Metazoa; Chordata; Actinopteri; Characiformes; Serrasalmidae. The record is from RefSeq and is a predicted model, not a curated record. The transcript has 14 exons.
AGGCGCUGCUGCAGACCGCGCUGCUGUUUCCGCUCCUCACAGCUGCUCGCUGUUGCUGGCGGCUCUGAGCUUAGCGGAGGCUGCUGGCUAAAAUAGCGCUAGAUGUGUUUUACUACACAGCGUAUCGCUUAAGCGCUACAGAUUCCUCAUAUUCUGACGGCCACAUUUCCCCUGGAUAUGGGUGACAAGGCAGGCACCCGGGUAUUCAAGAAAUCCAGUCCAAAUUGCAAGAUCACAGUAUACCUGGGGAAAAGAGAUUUUGUGGAUCAUUUAGAUCAGGUGGACCCUGUUGAUGGGGUCAUCUUAGUAGAUCCUGAAUAUCUCAAAGAUAGAAAAGUGUUUGUGACACUAACCUGUGCCUUCCGUUAUGGCCGUGAGGACCUGGAUGUUCUUGGGCUUUCUUUUCGGAAAGAUCUUUACAUAUCAACGUUUCAAGCUUUUCCACCCAUACCAGAAGAGCGCAAGCCCAACAGUCGCCUUCAGGAAAGACUUUUGAAGAAAUUGGGCCAGCAUGCUCAUCCUUUUCAUUUUACAAUCCCUCAAAACUUGCCAUGUUCAGUUACCUUGCAGCCUGGUCCUGAGGACACUGGAAAGGCCUGUGGGGUAGAUUAUGAGAUCAGAGCUUUCUGUGCCAGGUCAGUUGAGGAGAAGAUUCACAAAAGAAAUUCUGUUCGAUUAGUGAUUCGGAAAGUCCAGUAUGCUCCUGAGAAACCUGGUCCCCAGCCUAUGGUUGAGACAACACGAAGCUUUUUAAUGUCUGAUCGCUCUCUGCAUCUAGAGGCCUCCUUAGAUAAAGAGCUGUAUUACCAUGGGGAACCCAUCAGUGUGAAUGUCCAUGUGACCAACAAUUCAACCAAGACUGUCAAAAGAGUCAAAAUAUCAGUGCGGCAGUAUGCUGAUAUCUGUCUGUUCAGCACAGCGCAGUACAAAUGUCCGGUGGCUCAACUUGAGGCAGAUGACCAGGUAUCGUCCAGCUCCACAUUCUGUAAGGUGUACACCCUCACGCCCACCCUGAACAAUAACAGGGAGAAAAGAGGGCUCGCACUGGAUGGCAAACUCAAACAUGAAGACACCAACCUGGCCUCCAGCACCAUUGUUAAGGAUGGAUGUAACAAGGAGGUUCUCGGAGUUCUGGUGUCGUAUCGAGUCAAAGUCAAACUGGUCGUCUCCCGCGGAGGGGACUGGAUGACUAUUAUUUGAGCUAUUACAAUUCAUGCGUCAAAGGACUUCAGCAAGUACACUUUACAUAAAUCCAUUUUUGAUUAGUUAUAUGAUUCAUAGCUUUGAUCUUGUAUUGUUUUACUGUUGGAACAUUUAGCUUGGUCUGGAAGUUGGCCAGUACUGGCCACAGGGCUACUAUUAUUACUGCUUCCUGGCACUGUCUUGCAUGAUAUGAAUUUGACGCAAAAGAAUGCUCAUGGAGUGUUAAGAUACACAUAUUAGUAUUGAUAGUUUUACAUGGGGGUCGUGAGACUAUGUGUGCCAUCAAUUGAACGUAUGUAUGUAUGUAUGUAUGUAUGUAUUUAUUUAUUUUUUAGACAAAAAAAAAUGAAUAGUCCCCACUGUUCUAUUUAAAACACUUCAUGAAAUUCCUGUAAGAGAAAACUACAAAAGAAAAGCUUUCCUGUGCUGUUGCAUUUUAAAUUUAUUUAUCUUCUUAGAAAAUUAUUUCUUUGUCGUGCUCCCCGGACAAAAAACAGUGGCAUACGUCCUUUCUUCUCUCAUAAUUGAGUAUCCAGUUGCCUUAAAAGGCCUGCAGCUUAUAUUUUUCUUUAUAUAUUUCACCCUGAGGUCUACUUAUGAUAUUUGUAUGGUUUUGUAUAUCAGAAACCGUCGUCUAAAUUUUUUUUUCUUAACAAUUAAUUUUGGGACUUAUACAGACUGUUUUUGUUACUAUGUCUUUAAGUGCCAUAAAUGUGCUCUAGAAAUAAAAUUGGCAUUGACAUUGACAUAUGUCUUUAAGACUGAUACAUGUUAAUGACCUCUGUUCUGAUUGGCUGCCCUGCUUCAUUCAAAAAGAGUCCAGGCUGGAACACUCCUUAUAACUUUAGCAUGGAUGAGUGGGGCCAAACUGCUGUAGACAGAAUAAGUGGAUAUAUGGACGUAUUGGAUCUUGUGACAUCACAAAAACAAGUCAUUCAAAAUAGCUGCUUUUGAAGCUUGUACUGUAUAGACUGGGGAGUACAUUUUUACAUUUUUAGACACACCUACUUUGUUGGUCUACUUUGUAGGUUUAGUCAGAGACAAAAUUUCAUCUGUUGCUGUGUUUAGUCAUCUUCUAGUUCAGGGGUGUACAACUCUGGUACUGUUGGGCCGUAUUCAGUACAGUUGGGUGAUUUACCCGCUCAGACACAAUAGUUAAUGGACUAUUAGUCCAGCAGUGAUGCUAGGGUAUUUAAAAACUCCAGCAUUGAUGCUGUGUCUGAUCCACUCGUAACAGCACAGUGCACACUAACACGCCACCACCACGGCAGUAUCACUGCAGUGCUGAGAAUGACCCACUUCCAAAUAAUACAAACUCUGUGGUGGUCCGGUGGGGGUCCUGACAUUACAUUGAAGAACAAUGUAAAAGCAGCCUAACAAGGUUUGCAGAGAAACGGGGACUACAGUCUGUAAUUGUGGAACUACAAAGUGCUCCUGUAUGGUGAGUGGAGCUAAUACAAUGGACGUGAGUGUAGAUACAAGGAGUCGUACUUGACAAAGUAUUGGCUGGUCGGUGUUUACGUUUAUUAAAGAUUAAAUUUCCACUAGUGAGAAAGCGGCUGAUGCUCUCCCCUAACCUCCAUGUCUUUCUGCAGCACCCUGUAGAUACAUUGUUUCAUUUGAGUUUUCACAUCGUUCUGUUCUCUGUUGGUGUUUCAUAUUUUUCUCUGUGUUCCCCCACAUCUGUCUGUUAACCCCCCCUGUGUUGCAUCAGGCUUUUAAGCAGCUUGCUGGAGAGAGACGUCUCAGUUGAGCUGCCCUUCGUCUUAAUGCAUCCCAAACCUAUAGACCUCUCCAGCUCUCGACCAGCCUCAG